This 515-nucleotide long non-coding RNA is filed under the name Homo sapiens (human). RNAcentral describes it as "long non-coding RNA NONHSAT175731.1". The record is from RNAcentral. Lineage: Eukaryota; Metazoa; Chordata; Mammalia; Primates; Hominidae.
CGGUCCAUGAGCAGCGCCGAUGUGGAAGUGGCCAGAUUCUGAGCCGCCUGACUAGAGUUAGAAUCCCUUUGCCCACGUCCAGCUGAAGCCGACAGUGACCAACGACAGGUCUGCCCCCCUCCUCAGCUGAUGGCCACAUCUGCAGUGCUGCCCAUCUGGUGGCUUCCCCCGCCCUUCCCAUGUAGCCUGUUCUGUCAUCAUCUGUGCGUUCCUGUGUAGAGAACAUCCAGGCCCCGGCUGCCUGGUCUUGCCCCACUUGAGUCUGGCCUGGACUGGAUCCCAGCUGUUCUAGGCAGGGCCGGGCAGAGUGGGGCGCAGGCCCCUGAAGGGCGAGACCCAGUGGCUGGGCUGCCCAGGGCUGAGGGGCCGCCUCUUGAGGGUACACGCCUCUGGUCACAUGGCCAUGGAGCCUUGGGUACCCCUGAGUUAAGGGAGGACAUUUGGCCAGCUGGUGGCUGGGAGGGGAGCCUGGCUGCCCUGCUGCUUCUCCUGCCUAAUAAACAGGCUUCUCCUGC